AGGGGGAGGGGACCCGCGCCAGGGGCUGCGGGGUGGGGGUGGGGCCCAGGACUUUGCCCUUUGUCUCUCUGCAGAGCCACCGGCCGGUCGAAACCCGACCCCAUGGCGAAGCCAGGCAGCCGGCGAGGGGCAGUCUCCCGCUCUGGGGUCCUUUAGUAAAUCCAGACCCGACCUCCCUGUGGUCAGGGCUGUGACUGAGGUGGUCCUGUGGGGGAAGGGGGCUUCCCGCCUGCACCAGGCCUGCAAGCAUUUAAGUGGCAACCGGUUGGGGAUCAGAAAACGGGCUCAGAGAGGUCAAGGUGACACUGGCCAGCAAAUGUCACUACACUGUGCAGCCUGUUCCUGCUUGCCAGGAAAAAAACAAGCGUCAAAGGAUGGAGACUCCUAGAAUUCAAAACACUCAUCCAGCUUAUUUUAUGAAGUUUCUGGAGAUGGGGAGGAUUCAGGCAUUUAAAAAGGUAUAGGGGAGGAGAGGAAAGGUGGAAAUGGAUGGGGUGCAGAAGUUUUACACUAACAUGGAGUCGAAGACUGGCUGAGACCCUGGACAACUGGAAGGCCUGUUGUCUCUCUUUUACAAGAUAAACAAAAUCCAUGGAUAGAACCUCUGACUACUAUUACUGCCUCUGUUAUUGUUUCGGUCAGCCUUCAGGACCUGUGGACAGACACAAACAGCUCAUUUUGUAAAGAUUGCAGGUUACUUAAAUUGACACUUAACUCUUUAAGGUUCUAUUUCUCAGGCCAAGACCCCAGCUACUGGGAGAGAGGAACAGCUACUUGCACUUCCAUUUUCUCUCCAACUGUCUCAUCCUAUUUUCCCUUUACCUACUCUUCCUCUCUUCUUGCCUCUUUUCACUUCACAUUUACCCACUGGCUUUUUGCCUUAGAAUGGAGAGCUCCUGAGGCAGCCCAGGUGCUGGAAAGGGUCUGCAGCCCGCAGCCCGCAGCCGGUGAGGGGGAACCCUCUCGUGGGGUAUCUGCUGCGAGGUUUGCGAUCUGGGGUUCCCAGGACUAAGGCGCACCACAAGCGGCCUGGGAUCUCCUGGGGUCUCAGGGAUCUGAGAGGGGAAGUCCUCCUCGGAGACCCAGGCCAGCGGAUGUUCUCUGUCAGGGGCUUGUUAAGAGAAGGCAGGCGGGCGGCCCCACCUCAGAGCGAGACGAGAUUGCCGGGCUGGGACUGGCGCGGGGGCGGGCGGGGAAGGUUAGGGCCGCCGGGCCGGGGCGAGCGCUCCAGGAAGAGCCUGCAGCGCCGCCGCCACUUUCUCUCUCUCUACUCUCUCUCUUUUUUGAAAGGGGAAGGGAAGGCCGGCAACUCCAAAAGCAAAUAUAGCCUUGCCCUGAGCUGAGUCUACCACCCGUCUCCGACCCCUCUCCCGUGGGUAACACUGUGAGACUCCAGCCGCUCCCCUUUAAAAGGGAAGCGGGAAAUCCACCCAACCCCGUAUCUCCCCUCCCUCCCUCUCUCCCUCCCCCCUCCCCGUCUGGAAUUUCCAAGCCGGGACUAACUCGUCUGAUUUCUCCAGUCUCCCCCUGCUGCUUUUUUCCUCCCCUUUUCUCUCCCUAACACUCCCAUCCCAAAUUCUAAGCUGCACUUUCUGGAAAACAUUAGCCACAUUUCAAGAAUCUUUUAAGAGGAUAGGGAACGAACCACACUUAUUUUAAAUUCUAACAGCUGGGAAAAUGUCCGUUCUUCAAAUGCCUUUGGUUCAUAAACUUAUUCUAACAACCCCAUCACCACCACUACCACCCCACACACAAAAAUCAACAGAUCUAACCACUAAAUAACUCUUCACAAAACCUUUAAACUUCAACAAAUAGCACUUGCUGUUCCCCACUUCUCACUCAACUAAACCAGAUCUGAAUUUUAAAAUGUUUUAAAAUUGUAUACUCAGUAGACUACCUCAAUAGUAUCUUUGUCAACUGGCUGCUACACAUUAAAGUAUAGUAUAAAUACACUCUUAAAAAGUAAGCCUUAAAAGUACCCACACACAUAGAUUAAAAUGAUACAUAUUAAGGUAAUUUUAAAAGAUUAGAAGCUCAGAACCUUUGAAUCAAGGUUCUUCCAAUUGCUAAUGUCAUGUAUUUAAUCUCUGAAACAUAAUUAUGUUUUUUUCCACCAAAAGCUGUGCCAUUAAAACUUUACCUUUUCAACAAUUAACAAUACUUUGAAUAAAUUAGUGAUGGGACUUGCAGUUCUUCCCCCUUUUUACUAAAAAGUUCUCCAUCUGAGAAACCAUUAUGGUAAAAUUUCAUCUUUUUAAUUUGGGUCAGAAAAUAAGGGGUUCUAGAAACCUACAAUUCUUCUAAGGGACAGUCAGUUGCCACUGCCCUUACAAAACUCUCAUCUUGAAAUACUGACCACCCAAAUGAGAACAGUUAAGGAUUUCUACCAGCAGUGAAGGAAACUAAUUUAUGAAUUUGCAAAGUUUAAUUUUUAGGUGGAAAUUAAAAUAGGGAAAGAAUGUACCCCAGUUUCCACCUUUCCUCCAAACAGUGCACAAAAACUUAACAUUCAACCAUUUUUUUCACUUAUGUAAAGCAAAAAAAAAAAAAAAAUUCUAACCUAAUAUUAAUAAGAAAACCUUUUUAAAAGAGUAAUCAAUUGUUUCUACUUUAAACUUCCAUGUUGAAUAGUAGUCACAUGUUAUCUUUUACCUCGUAUGAGUUAAAAACUUUCUUUUUGACUUGGAUACUAAUUCAUAAUUACAACCAUUAAAGUAAAAGUGCCUGAAAACCCUCCCGCUCUAGUAGUUUUCAUUCCCUUUUUAACCCCUCUUCAUUCAUUUUCAGCCCCAAAGUACAAGGUAGGUUUUCUUUUUUCCUUAAGUGCAAAUCCAUUUCUGAAGACAAUUUUUAGGUUGUUUUGAAAACAUUUAGUGAUCCAAGUGAUUUCUUCAGAGCCUCAACAAAUCAUUGUUAAAAUAUAUUUAAAAUAUUUUUUGCCAUUUAUAAGACAUCCCUUCACAGAUUUUUAAAGCUGUUAACUUCAAAAAAUUAAACUGUAAAAUUUGGACACUUUCUUUUGGGAGUUCUCAAUUUUAUGAACGAUUUAUAAAACUAAUUUUGUUUAAUAGGUACUUAAGGGAGUUAGCCCACCUCAUUUUUAGUCAACAUAGAGGAAAAGGACCAUUAAUCUGCCUAAAGAAAUCACCAAACUUAGAAUUCUUUAAUGUGAACACAUUUCACCUUUAAAAAAAAUGAGUCAGUGCAUCUCUUUCAUUUUUUUCUUAAUUAACAGUAACACCUUUUAUUUUGAUGACACCAGUUGACAGUGAAUAUGCUAUCUUUAGGUCACAUUCCUCUAGAAAAAGGCACACCACAGUGGCAAGUGUAACAAAGGUUUAAUUCCCUUAAAAAGCAAAUCAUGUCUCAAAGUAAUCAAGUCACACUAAAAUGGUACCCCCUUUACCUCAACUACUCCUAAGUCUCUCAGAAUAAAACAUAUACAAGCCCUUUCCACAACUGUUUUUAAAUGCAUUUGGUUUUUCUCUUUUGUCUCAGUAUCUGGCAGUGAACAUAUACAAAUUCUCAACAAAAAAGCACAAAUUGUUAACCAAAUUCCAACACUAAGGGGGUUUGAGAUGGUGAUCUCUAAGAAAUUAGUAUCACCUCAUUUUAAAAAUUCAAGCUAACUGCUGUUUUCAGUUGAAAUGCAUAGUGUUCGGCCUCUUGAGUUCUUAAAAAGGUACAAAUUAUAUGUAUCAAAUAAAUUCAAACUAAGAACAAAAUACAUUAAGAGGUAUUGCUACAGCAUAUCUUUUGUUUGAUUUCCCCCUCUUAAAAAACAAAACAAAACAACCAGGAACAUUUAGUUGUUGGGUUUUUAUGAAUUAUUUUAGAAAUUGAAAUCAUAGUUCAUUUGGAACUGAAUGCCUCAAGAAGAGUUCAUAAGGAAAAUACAAGAGUAUAUAUACACAAAAUAUUAUUUGUAUAGUUGUUCAUUUUGCUUAGAAUAUAUUAGUCAUAAUUAACUAGUUCCUGUUCUAUACAUCCAUGAGAUGGAAAGUCAGUAACAAACCUAACUGACGAAAUACUUUUCAGACACAGACUAAAGACACAUACCACAACAUACUUCCUCAAAGACACAAAAUGAUAGAGCAAACUGACUUAAUGAAAACAAACUUUCUUUUUUAAAUCUUGAGACUUCAAAAAUUGAUUCAUUCUAGAAAAAUGAAGUGCCUUCUCACCACCAACCAAAAUAAAAAGCAAAGAAAACACAACUGACUCAAUGUUUGGGCUAAAAAAAUUAUUUCAGGAAGGGGAGAACACAUAAAAGAUCUAAUUUAAUAUGGGUGUGGACAGAUUUUUUUUUUUUACCCAGUCUUCUCACAAACCCCCUCUCCAUUCCAACUCAAAAAAGAGCCCUCAGUAAUGCAUUUUGGAGGGAAAAAGGGCCUAGAAAUGACUUAAAAGCAAGCAGAUGGCUUGGGGAAAAAGAUUCAUAAAUACAGGGCACCAUGAAAAUUAAAAUAUAAAUGUUUUGAGUUCCAUUUCAUCACGUUUUGCUAUUUCUCUUGCUUUUCACUUUAUUCCCUAAAAUUUAAACCAUCCUCAAGAGCAAAAGAAAAAAUCCACAUAUUUUAGAAUUCCACUUAUUCUGGAUAUUUUUCAUCAACACUCAGCUUUCAGUUCAAAUAUCCAUAUCCUUUUCAAUAAACCUGCUGGUGUCAGUGUAUGUUCCUUAGACACAUCUCCAGAAAAUGUUUCAAAAUAACAAAUAAGACUUCUUUUCUUCCUUCCCAUUUUAUUGCCUCUUUACUCCUAACUCUAAUUGCCUUUCCAAUAACACGGUAUUUCAAACAUGUGAAGUUAAAUCGCAAGCUCUAUAAACAUAGUAACAAGCCAUAUUGAUCUAUAGACACAAUAGUUCCAAGUUACUUAAAUAUCAAGCUAAGCAACUGAACAGAUUUUUAUCUCACAUUAAACUUUCUAGGCCCUCUUAAUGGUCCCCCAGAAAAAGCAGUCAUCAUCUCCCAUCUACCCGGAAAAGGCCAGAGACUAUCCUGAAAUGUACCAAGUUUUCAGCUGAAAUGGGGGGUGAGGAAGAUCAAAGAUUUACUGGGGGCUGCUUUCCAGCUUGGGACAUGAGAGCAAACUCUACACUGUCAACAUGUUUAAAGUCUGAUUUGAGAAAGUAGAAAGACUCUGCCCUUAUACUUCCCAGCCAGAGUUCAAGGAAAGGUUUCAGAGUUCAAUGCAAGAUUUGAAAUCCACCAUGAAUUCUCGGUAAGUAUGAUGGAGGUACCCCAUUUUGCUGAAGAGAGAGGAUAGAGGGUAUUGGAACACACACGAACACACACACACACACACACACACACACACACACACACACCAUUCAUCCACGGAGUUCUAGACCCUCCAAAGAGCCCCAGCUCACAGCCUCAACACAAAGCUCUCACCCCAGAUGGUCCCCUGGUAACAAUGGGCUGAAGGAGUGGGGGUAGGGGGGCUCGAAAAGGAUAGUACAGCCAAGGCAUAUUCUUUGGAAAAUCCAGCUGGGGAGAGGGAUGAUGUGAGAUAUGAGGGAUUGGGGGUGGGGGGUCCAUGGAAAAUAAAAAGUCUUUGCCUGUUGUAGAAAUAUAAAUAAAGUACAAGCAUAAGGGGAUUCUUUGGGGGCCGGGAAACUCAUUCCACAUCGCUUCGGGAGAAGGGCAAUCCACUUAAGAAUUAUGGUGUGGAAAGAGUGGGAAAAACAGAAAAUGAGGCCUGCUACGAAGUUGCAGAAAUCGCCAUGAGUCUGAACUCUUCAAAGAUUUUAAGGUUCCCCCACAAAAAACGGCCCCACGAGUUGAACAAACAAACUCCACAAGGUUUCUCCCCUAUUGAUUUUCUUUCCCCUUUAAUUCUGCAAGUAACAUCUUUUAGCCUACCCCAGCCCCAACUUAUUUAUUUUUUUUUUACAAGCUGUAAACCACCCAUUACAAGAUCUUGGCCAAUCUUCCCUCCCUGCCCCCAACAUCCGGAGUUGGGGGUGGGAAAGACCAGUA
Long non-coding RNA from Homo sapiens (human), 5984 nucleotides. RefSeq lists it as uncharacterized. The transcript has 4 exons. Lineage: Eukaryota; Metazoa; Chordata; Mammalia; Primates; Hominidae. The record is from RefSeq and is a predicted model, not a curated record.